UUUUCCAGUCAUGGGGCUCCCAGAUGGCAUUCCCAUUAGACACUAUAACAGGACAAGCCAGGGAGCUGACAGCCUUCCAGUCACUGUCUAAAAGAGCAUCCUUCACAACUGACGCCCAUCGUGACUGCAAUGGAUUUUUUAAAACUGCUGGCAAUGCCAAUUGCUGGCCAGUGGGAGGUUCCCCUGGUUGAGCCUGACGAUUUGAAAGGGUGGCAAGGUGGGCUAUUUUUUUCUGUAACAUAUUUGGUCUUUGUAUCUUGUUCUGUGAUCGCUUGUCCCUGCUACAAUAGACAACAGGAAGGUCUGGCUCUGAGUCGUCAGAAUCUGAACUUGGUGGGAGUGGGCAGCGCAGCGCUACCGUGGUGGAGUGGGAACUGGCAUUUUCAGGGCUCUGCUCUGGUGUUGUUUGGGUGGCUGCUUCUGCCAUUCCGCUAGCAUUGGGGUGCCCAGCCUCCCCAAGCCGCGCUGGGUUGUUCGCCGCCGCCGCACCGCCGCAGGUGGGUACCGCCGAGCCGCGCCUCUGCACAUGCACGCACCCGCGGCAGCUGCCGUGGCCGCUGCGGGGGAGCGAGGGGCCAGCGCCGCCUCGCUCCCUUCUCCGCCCUGGUCUUCGCCUUGAUCUCCGCCCCUGAGUUCCUCCUCCUGACUCAGCCCUGUUUCGUCACCAACUCCGCCUGCCUCCUCAGGUGUCUCCCCGCCUCCCGAGGGACCCAACGGGGCCCCUUCCGGGUUUGCCUCACUCUGCGGAACCGCCGAGCUGUUAACAUCUGCUGCUUGCGAGCACGCUUCCGCCCUGGCCAUGCAUCCGGUCUGUCCCGUGUCAGCCAGCCCCACUCCUGGCUCUGCGCUUCCCUCCAAACGAGCUACAAAAUCCCUGACAGAGAGACUGACUGGAGCUUUCUGCCCUCGCACUGGCCGCAUAUUACAAACAUUAAAGAAUUUUUCAACCCGAGAUGGCUUCUGAACUUCUGUCUGUUCUGAUGUGGGUUGCUCAAAUGCCUGAACCGCGGCUUCCGCUGCUUUUUUCUCCGCAAGCAUGCUUUGCAGGCUCUCUUUGAGAGAAUAUGAAAGAGCAGCCGCACUGAAGCUUGCAAAUCCCCAUCCAUGGUGAACUUUUCACCCUCUCUCUCUCUCCGCGGCUUACCUCCAACCUCUGCAGGUUGCUUCGCUCUCGCUUUUCUUCGGCAAGGCAGCACCCCGCUCCAGCUUCCCGGCCCCGGCCACGUCCACACCCACCGUUCAGGUCCUUUGUGAACGCUGAGGUCUUCCCACUGCUCCAACGGACUCUCGCAAACAAACAACAAUGCAAAGAGUCUUUUUCCUCCCGUUGGGAAACGGCCCAAUUCGGAGUUUGGAGACUUCUGCUCCGUUCCACCUGAUCCCCGUUCACAAAAAGUGAACUUGGGAUCCCGGCCCCGUCGCCA
Non-coding RNA from Taeniopygia guttata (zebra finch), 1424 nucleotides. The record is from RefSeq and is a predicted model, not a curated record. NCBI's taxonomy places the organism in Eukaryota, Metazoa, Chordata, Aves, Passeriformes, Estrildidae.